GACGAACGCUGGCGGCGUGCUUAACACAUGCAAGUCGAACGAAAAUACCAAGCUUGCUUGGUUGAUUAGUGGCGAACGGGUGAGUAACACGUGAGUAACCUGCCCCUUACUUUCUGGAUAACUGCUCGAAAGGGUAGCUAAUACGGGAUAUUCUGACCAGUCCGCAUGGGUUGGUUUGGAAAGGUUGUUUUUCUGGUGAGGGAUGGGCUCGCGGCCUAUCAGCUUGUUGGUGGGGUGAUGGCCUACCAAGGCUUUGACGGGUAGCCGGCCUGAGAGGGUGGACGGUCACACUGGGACUGAGAUACGGCCCAGACUCCUACGGGAGGCAGCAGUGGGGAAUAUUGCACAAUGGGCGCAAGCCUGAUGCAGCGACGCCGCGUGAGGGAUGAAGGCCUUCGGGUUGUAAACCUCUUUCGUCAGGGAACAAGGCACCGUCUUUUGGUGGUGUUGAGGGUACCUGGAUAAGAAGCGCCGGCUAACUACGUGCCAGCAGCCGCGGUAAUACGUAGGGCGCAAGCGUUGUCCGGAAUUAUUGGGCGUAAAGAGCUCGUAGGCGGCUGGUCGCGUCUGUCGUGAAAACUUCCGGCUCAACCGGGGGCUUGCGGUGGGUACGGGCCGGCUAGAGUGCGGUAGGGGUAACUGGAACUCCUGGUGUAGCGGUGGAAUGCGCAGAUAUCAGGAAGAACACCGAUGGCGAAGGCAGGUUACUGGGCCGUUACUGACGCUGAGGAGCGAAAGCGUGGGGAGCGAACAGG
Molecule: ribosomal RNA, 755 nt
Filed under: uncultured Actinomyces sp.
Lineage: Bacteria; Bacillati; Actinomycetota; Actinomycetes; Actinomycetales; Actinomycetaceae
Description: bacterial SSU rRNA
Rfam family: Bacterial small subunit ribosomal RNA
Source: RNAcentral